This 253-nucleotide ribosomal RNA is filed under the name uncultured bacterium. Its description in RNAcentral is "partial 16S ribosomal RNA". It matches the Rfam family "Bacterial small subunit ribosomal RNA", at positions 524 to 776 of the family's 1533-position model. The record is from RNAcentral.
UACGGAGGGUGCGAGCGUUGUCCGGAUUUAUUGGGUUUAAAGGGUGCGUAGGCGGCCCGAUAAGUCGGGGGUGAAACCCACAGGCUUAACCUGUGGAGUGCCCCCGAUACUGUCGGGCUUGGGUUAUCUCUAGGCGGGCGGAAUGGAAGGUGUAGCGGUGAAAUGCAUAGAUAUCUACCAGAACGCCGAUAGCGAAGGCAGCUCGCUGGGGAUAUACCGACGCUGAGGCACGAUAGCGUGGGGAUCAAACAGG